Molecule: ribosomal RNA, 497 nt
Filed under: uncultured bacterium
Lineage: Bacteria
Description: partial 16S ribosomal RNA
Rfam family: Bacterial small subunit ribosomal RNA
Source: RNAcentral
GAUGAACGCUGGCGGCGUGCCUAAUACAUGCAAGUCGAGCGAACAGAUUAGGAGCUUGCUCCUCUGACGUUAGCGGCGGACGGGUGAGUAACACGUGGAUAACCUACCUAUACGACUGGGAUAACUUCGGGAAACCGGAGCUAAUACCGGAUAAUAUAUUUAACCGCAUGGUUCAAUAGUGAAAGACGGUUUUGCUGUCACUUAUAGAUGGAUCCGCGCCGCAUUAGCUAGUUGGUAAGGUAACGGCUUACCAAGGCAACGAUGCGUAGCCGACCUGAGAGGAUGAUCGGCAACACUGGAACUGAGACACGGUCCAGACUACUACGGGAGGCAGCAAUAGGGAAUCUUCCGCAAUGGGCGAAAGCCUGACGGAGCAACGCAGCGUGAGUGAUGAAGGUAUUCGGAGCGUAAAACUCUGUUAUUAGGGAAGAACAAAUGUGUAAGUAACUAUGCACGUCUUGACGGUACCUAAUCAGAAAGCCACGGCUAACUACGUG